GCCUCUUUAGCUCAGUUGGCAGAGCGCUGCACUGGAAUCGCAGGGCCGCAGGUUCUAUUCCUGCCAGAGGAC
Molecule: non-coding RNA, 72 nt
Organism: Paramuricea clavata
Lineage: Eukaryota; Metazoa; Cnidaria; Anthozoa; Malacalcyonacea; Plexauridae
Source: the annotation of a GenBank genome assembly